Molecule: ribosomal RNA, 460 nt
Filed under: uncultured bacterium
Lineage: Bacteria
Description: partial 16S ribosomal RNA
Rfam family: Bacterial small subunit ribosomal RNA
Source: RNAcentral
CCUACGGGAGGCAGCAGUGAGGAAUAUUGGUCAAUGGGCGCGAGCCUGAACCAGCCAAGUAGCGUGAAGGAUGACGGCCCUACGGGUUGUAAACUUCUUUUAUCAGGGAAUAAAGUGCGCCACGUGUGGCGUUUUGCAUGUACCUUAUGAAUAAGGAUCGGCUAACUCCGUGCCAGCAGCCGCGGUAAUACGGAGGAUCCGAGCGUUAUCCGGAUUUAUUGGGUUUAAAGGGAGCGUAGGCGGGAUGUCAAGCCAGGUGUGAAAUGUGGGGGCUCAACCGUUAACUUGCAGUUGAAACUGGCUUGCUUGAGUACGGGAGAAGUAGGCGGAAUGCGUGGUGUAGCGGUGAAAUGCUUAGAUAUCACGAAGAACUCCGAUUGCGAAGGCAGCUUACUGGAGCGCAACUGACGCUGAUGCUCGAAAGUGUGGGUAUCGAACAGGAUUAGAUACCCGAGUAGUC